UUUUUUUUUUUUUUUAAAUACUGAAAUCUUGUUUUUUAAAAAGUCAGUACUUUAAACAUAGCAACAGUUUGAAGUUUUAAGGAAUCUAAAGUCAUGUGAAAAACUUGCAAAAACAUAGAAUUGCAAAGCAAGUUUUUCUGCCUUUUUUUAAUUUACUUUCUGUAAUACCAGGUGUAUUCUGAUCAUGGAGUUCAAGCACCACAUCACCAGCCAGUUGCCCAGAAUGCCAUAGCCAUGCCCGCACCUACACUAUGGAGCAUUCAGUAUUAAGCCAUUUGGACAGCUCUGAUCUACCUGCACUGAUUUUCUUGUCCAGUCCUUCCUGUGUGGCUGAGAUCCAUCAUCAACAUAGCAGCUCGCAGCUGCCUGCUGUGGAACUUGCGGAACUGAGGUUGCAUUCUGUGAGAAGAAAUUUUUCACAUCCUUCAUCUGAGUCGGAAACCUCAAUACACACGAAGUCCCCAUUUUCAUCCUAGAAAAGCUUGCAGAAUGGAAGAGAAAAUUCCACCUUCUACAGACUGUAAAACAAAUUUUAUUUUCUUUUAGCUAUCUACUUUGCUAACAUACCUAUCACAUGGAGGAUAUGUUGUUCCUAACUCCUAACAUUUACCUGAAAAUGCCAAAGUUAAAUACCACUCUUUUUCAUAAAGUAAUCAAAUGAAAUACUGUCGUUUGGACAGGUAAAAACACAUGAAACCAUGAUUUUAUCCUGCAUUUCUUAGUAAAAAUACUGUUACAGGACAAAAUGGGGAUUUCUGAUGCACAGCCUACUGUAUAAACUUUGGUUACUAACAUAGAUUGGAAACCAGCAUACUUCUUAUUAAAGGGAAAAUUUUAACAUUUAAUUUCUGGAUUAUAUAAAUUUUAAAGAUACAUUAGUUACAAAGCAAAAGCCAUUUUCCCACAUACUGAGAGCAUUUCUGUGCUGUGGAUUAAAGUCUGGUUAUUUAAAUUUGUGCAUUUUAUUUUAAUUCCAAAAGUUUGUCUAUUUUUUUUUAAUUGGUAUUCUUUACUUUUUUAAGGUAUUUAACUUAUGUAUCAUUUUAGUACUUGGGAAUAAUAACUUUUUAUAAUCAAAUUGGAUUACUAGUUUAUCCUCCUAUGACGCUGACAUUUUGCUCGUGUAUCAUAAGCAAUAAAUUUGGUUUUUGGUAUGUUUUUAGCUGUAGAAAAAAGCAAGAUUUAACUUAUUGCUAUUACAAA
This 1203-nucleotide long non-coding RNA is filed under the name Strigops habroptila (Kakapo). Its description in RNAcentral is "lncRNA (ENSSHBG00005019388.1)". The record is from RNAcentral. Lineage: Eukaryota; Metazoa; Chordata; Aves; Psittaciformes; Psittacidae.